This 440-nucleotide ribosomal RNA is filed under the name uncultured bacterium. Its description in RNAcentral is "partial 16S ribosomal RNA". It matches the Rfam family "Bacterial small subunit ribosomal RNA", at positions 338 to 795 of the family's 1533-position model. The record is from RNAcentral.
CCUACGGGAGGCUGCAGUGGGGAAUAUUGCACAAUGGGGGAAACCCUGAUGCAGCGACGCCGCGUGUGGGAAGACUGUCCUCUGGAUUGUAAACCACUUUCCCCAGGGACGAAGAUGACGGUACCUGGGGAGGAAGCUCCGGCUAACUACGUCCCAGCAGCCGCGGUAAUACGUCGGUAGCGAGCGUUGUCCGGAAUUACUGGGUGUAAAGGGAUCGUAGGCGGGACUGCAAGUUGGGGGUCAAAUCUACCGGCUAAACCGGGAGCAGCACUCCAAACUGGAGUUCUUGAGUGAAGUAGAGGCAGGCGGAAUUCCUGGUGUAGCGGUGAAAUGCGUAGAUAUUAGGAGGAACACCAGUGGCGAAGGCGGCCUGCUGGGCUUUUACUGACGCUGAGGCUCGAAAGUGUGGGGAGCAAACAGGAUUAGAUACCCGGGUAGUC